Molecule: long non-coding RNA, 1758 nt
Organism: Dunckerocampus dactyliophorus (ringed pipefish)
Lineage: Eukaryota; Metazoa; Chordata; Actinopteri; Syngnathiformes; Syngnathidae
Exons: 4
Source: RefSeq, a predicted model, not a curated record
GUGUAGACAAAGGGGGGACUCCACAACACAAAGCUGCAUGUGUUCUUCCAAACUUUAUUUCUUCUCCUCCAAGACGCACGGCCACACGCACGGAGCAGAGCACCUUCAAUAAAAGUUACCGCUCUUGUUGGUGCGUCAGCGCACAAAGUUGAGCACAAAGCAGCGGAGGUAGAGCGACGUAGACAGACAGUGGCAGCCAGGAGAGAGAGAGAGCGCGAGAGAGAGAGCGGUCCUCUUUUCCUUUGUCUGAUGCUCUGUCUCAGGCUUUUUGGACACUACUUGAACGGACUUCAUCAUGACCAUCACACACUGGAUCCCUAAAGCCAGACUGACAGAGAAAUAUUUUCCAAAUUUUGUGGAGAAGGAUGGAGGAACUCCAGAGUCAUCUGUGAAGAAGCUUUAAGGAUUAAGAGACAGAACACUUUUAUUUUGGAAACGAUGAAGAACUCCUAAGGAUUUAAACCUGAGCAGAAGCAGCUUUGCCUGGAGGGAUGCAUUCAAGGCAUACUCGGAAAUGUAAAAACCUGGAUAUACUUUGGAGAUUAUAAGAAUGUGAUGGUUUCCUUCUGCACUUUGGCUUAAACUCCCCAGGAUGGCAGAAUAUUGCAAUUUGAGCCUUCAUAAUAGGUAGAUCACAUAGCGUCUUGGAGCUUUGAAUCCACAUAUUGACAUUGGGAAGCAAUGAGGAUGGUAAGCAGGGGGAGUUCCUGUGAUUGCAAAAAAAAAAAAAUUGAGUUGUGUUUUUUCUUAUUUUAAUUAAGCCAUUUACUGUACAUAUAUUUACUUUUUUCUUGUAAGUAUCGAGGACCAUAUAUUCAGAUAAUGACCAUCUACAUAAAUGUAUGACUUGUGGAUUUGCUGUAAAAUUAAGGAAAAUGUAGUAAUGAAACUUGGAUGCUUGUAUAGCAAUAUAGACUUCGGCACUGAAAAUGACUCAACACACAGCCAUUACUGUCUAAAUAGCUGGCAACACAAGUGAGUAAAAGAUAAUUACAGUCAAGCAUGGCGUGGGGCUGGGAGAGUGCGGUUUAUUGAGACAAACAUUCCAACAUUUACUGCAACAUUGUGAAGCAAAGAACGAUCCCUUCCAUUGGGAAACUGUGCCCAAACACACCUCCAAGAUGACAAGCACCUUGCUGAGGAAGCUGAAGAUGAAGGUGAAGGUAUGGCCAAGUAUGUCUCCAGACAUACUUCUUACAUAAAUCAGCACCUGCGGGGCAUCCUCAAGCACAAGGUGGAAGAGUGCAAAUGCUCUGUAAUGCCAUCAUGGAGGAGUGAAAGAGGAUUCCAGUUAUAACCUGUGCAGCUCUGGUGGAUUCCAUGGCCAAGAUGAUGAAGGCAGUGCUAGAUAAUAAUGGUGCUCACACUAAAUAGUCACAUUUUUGACACACUUUGGAGAUGUUCAUUGUAAGGUGUAUUCACAUGUGUUGCCAGCUAUUUAGAUAAUAAUGGCUGCAAGGACAGUCACUACUCUAAAGUACAUUCAAGUUCAAUUACUAUUGUAUUGUCCAUUGAGAAGAUAUAUUAAAAUGGUGACUGAAAUGUGAGGGGUGUACUCACUUUUGUGCAAUUCUGUAAGCUAUCAAAUAAAGAGCUAUAAAAUGAAUGAGUCCUUUUCUGUCUGUGAUAAUUUACAAAAGUUAAAGAGCAAAUAUGAAAAGCUGCCAUAGUGCAAUUAUUAUAGAUCAGGGGUCGGGAACCGUUUUGGCUAAGAGAGCCAUGAAAGCCACAUAUUUUAAUAUCAUAGUAUAUCACAUU